UCGGCCUGACAGCGAUGAUUCAUUCACAGGUAAUCUUAAGGAGAACGGGCACUUUCAUAAAAUCUUCACUGAAAAAUCUACACUUGUUUAUCUGCAUAUUAUUUGAAGCCAUGAUCAGAAGACAGCGAUGAUUCAUUCACAGGUAAUGUACGUAUAUUAUUUUAGCAUUAACUUUUGUUGCAAUGUCCAUGUUUAGAUAAAAACCGAGCACCUAACAUGUGCUUAAAAGUCACCCAUUGAUAUGAUUAUCACAAAGGUAUUUAAACUAUCGCAUGAUUACCCAAAACGAAACAACCCCACCUGGCACCCUGUGCAACCAAGCUCAAGAAAAAGGCAUGGUGUACUUUUAGAUGUGGUGGUUUGGUAAGGGUGGCUCCGGGUUUGGUUGGGUUCAUUCAAGUUCUCACCAACUGCUCAUGUGUGUUGUUUCCACAUGAGCCAUUACCAUCUACCCUCUGGUUGCCCCCCCUCCUAAAGUGCACUUGUCCCUUUUCUUCUUCUAGCUCAACCCAUUACCCACCCCACUCCUUUUUUUGCACGAUUUAUUCGCUCUCUCUGUCUUUUCGCAUUUAGCACAUUCUCAUUCCAGCUUUUGCAUCUUGGUGCACGAAGACGAGUUUUUCUCUUCUCUCGAUUCAAACUUGGAUGACAACAGGAAACAAAUCCACUUACUACUUGAACUAACACAUAAAGGUUAAUCUCAUCUCUUUAUAACACCAGGCCCACAUUUUCCAUCAUCAAACAUUUUGUUUCUCGAUUGAUUUCAUUUUACCUUUGCAAUGAAUGAUCCCGUUUUUGGGAACGCAAAAUGCCCUAUUUUACAUCCAGACUGAACAGCUAAGGUAAGCAUAAAGAUCUAAGGACCUGAGGAUUCUCACCUUUAAUCGCGACACCAAACACAUACCAGUGACAAGGUCUUCAUCGCAUGCAAAAUUCGGAAGAUGCACAAUUACAUUGAUAGAACUCAAAAUUAGAGGUGUUCAUGAUAUAGUUGGAUUUGAUUUAAGUGUAUAAUUAUAUUCGAUCCGACUUUCGAUAUUUACAUAUUAUAAAUCUGAUCCAUUUAGUUUUUUUAGAA
Long non-coding RNA from Populus trichocarpa (black cottonwood), 1078 nucleotides. RefSeq lists it as uncharacterized. Lineage: Eukaryota; Viridiplantae; Streptophyta; Magnoliopsida; Malpighiales; Salicaceae. The record is from RefSeq and is a predicted model, not a curated record. The transcript has 2 exons.